GACGAAGGGGGCAAGCGUUGUUCGGAAUUACUGGGCGUAAAGGGCGCGUAGGCGGCCUGUUAAGUCGAACGUGAAAUCCCCGGGCUCAACCCGGGAACUGCGUCCGAUACUGGCAGGCUUGAAUCCGGGAGAGGGAUGCGGAAUUCCAGGUGUAGCGGUGAAAUGCGUAGAUAUCUGGAGGAACACCGGUGGCGAAGGCGGCAUCCUGGACCGGCAUUGACGCUGAGGCGCGAAAGCCAGGGGAGCAAACGGG
Molecule: ribosomal RNA, 253 nt
Filed under: uncultured bacterium
Lineage: Bacteria
Description: partial 16S ribosomal RNA
Rfam family: Bacterial small subunit ribosomal RNA
Source: RNAcentral